UGCUGGAGGUAUCAGAAGUGCGAAUGCUGACAUAAGUAACGAUAAAGCGGGUGAAAAGCCCGCUCGCCGGAAGACCAAGGGUUCCUGUCCAACGUUAAUCGGGGCAGGGUGAGUCGACCCCUAAGGCGAGGCCGAAAGGCGUAGUCGAUGGGAAACAGGUUAAUAUUCCUGUACUUGGUGUUACUGCGAAGGGGGGACGGAGAAGGCUAUGUUAGCCGGGCGACGGUUGUCCCGGUUUAAGCAUGUAGGCUGGUUAUCCAGGCAAAUCCGGAUAAUCAAGGCUGAGGUGUGAUGACGAGGCACUACGGUGCUGAAGUAACAAAUGCCCUGCUUCCAGGAAAAGCCUCUAAGCAUCAGGUAACAUCAAAUCGUACCCCAAACCGACACAGGUGGUCAGGUAGAGAAUACCAAGGCGCUUGAGAGAACUCGGGUGAAGGAACUAGGCAAAAUGGUGCCGUAACUUCGGGAGAAGGCACGCUGGUGUGUAGGUGAAGUCCCUGCGGAUGGAGCUGAGACCAGUCGAAGAUACCAGCUGGCUGCAACUGUUUAUUAAAAACACAGCACUGUGCAAACACGAAAGUGGACGUAUACGGUGUGACGCCUGCCCGGUGCCGGAAGGUUAAUUGAUGGGGUUAUCCGUAAGGAGAAGCUCUUGAUCGAAGCCCCGGUAAACGGCGGCCGUAACUAUAACGGUCCUAAGGUAGCGAAAUUCCUUGUCGGGUAAGUUCCGACCUGCACGAAUGGCGUAAUGAUGGCCAGGCUGUCUCCACCCGAGACUCAGUGAAAUUGAACUCGCUGUGAAGAUGCAGUGUACCCGCGGCAAGACGGAAAGACCCCGUGAACCUUUACUAUAGCUUGACACUGAACAUUGAGCCUUGAUGUGUAGGAUAGGUGGGAGGCUUUGAAGCGUGGACGCCAGUCUGCGUGGAGCCAACCUUGAAAUACCACCCUUUAAUGUUUGAUGUUCUAACGUUGGCCCCUGACCGGGGUUGCGGACAGUGUCUGGUGGGUAGUUUGACUGGGGCGGUCUCCUCCCAAAGCGUAACGGAGGAGCACGAAGGUUAGCUAAUCCUGGUCGGACAUCAGGAGGUUAGUGCAAUGGCAUAAGCUAGCUUGACUGCGAGCGUGACGGCGCGAGCAGGUGCGAAAGCAGGUCAUAGUGAUCCGGUGGUUCUGAAUGGAAGGGCCAUCGCUCAACGGAUAAAAGGUACUCCGGGGAUAACAGGCUGAUACCGCCCAAGAGUUCAUAUCGACGGCGGUGUUUGGCACCUCGAUGUCGGCUCAUCACAUCCUGGGGCUGAAGUAGGUCCCAAGGGUAUGGCUGUUCGCCAUUUAAAGUGGUACGCGAGCUGGGUUUAGAACGUCGUGAGACAGUUCGGUCCCUAUCUGCCGUGGGCGCUGGAGAAUUGAGGGGGGCUGCUCCUAGUACGAGAGGACCGGAGUGGACGCAUCACUGGUGUUCGGGUUGUCAUGCCAAUGGCACUGCCCGGUAGCUAAAUGCGGAAGAGAUAAGUGCUGAAAGCAUCUAAGCACGAAACUUGCCCCGAGAUGAGUUCUCCCUGAGACUAUAAGUCUCCUGAAGGAACGUUGAAGACGACGACGUUGAUAGGCCGGGUGUGUAAGCGCAGCGAUGCGUUGAGCUAACCGGUACUAAUGAACCGUGAGGCUUAACCUUACAACGCCGAAG
Molecule: ribosomal RNA, 1687 nt
Filed under: Klebsiella pneumoniae
Lineage: Bacteria; Pseudomonadati; Pseudomonadota; Gammaproteobacteria; Enterobacterales; Enterobacteriaceae
Description: bacterial LSU rRNA
Rfam family: Bacterial large subunit ribosomal RNA
Source: RNAcentral